AAAAUUCUAGUAAAAUUUAUUACCUUGUCUUGUCAGGACAAAAUUGUGAGUUAAAAUCUCACGUAUUUUA
Molecule: transfer RNA, 70 nt
Filed under: Chlamydoselachus anguineus (frilled shark)
Lineage: Eukaryota; Metazoa; Chordata; Chondrichthyes; Hexanchiformes; Chlamydoselachidae
Description: tRNA-Asp
Source: RNAcentral